This 469-nucleotide unclassified non-coding RNA is filed under the name Hevea brasiliensis (rubber tree). The record is from RNAcentral. Lineage: Eukaryota; Viridiplantae; Streptophyta; Magnoliopsida; Malpighiales; Euphorbiaceae.
UGAUAGAUUCAGUAAGGCCAUGAUAUCUUUUGGAUACUAUCAAAGCAAUGCAAAUUAUACUCUAGUUAUGAAACAAUGUAGAGAUAAGAUCAUCUUGCUUCUUGUUUAUGUUGAUGACAUAAUUAUGACAGGAGAUGAUAAGGAGAAAAUUACUCAUCUGAGGAAACUCUUAGCUCAGGAGUUUGAGAUUAAAGAUUUGGGUAAAUUAAGAUACUUCCUUGGGAUAGAGGUUGCCAGAUCAAACAAAAGAAUCUUCGUUUCUCAAAGAAAGUAUAUUUUAGACCUCUUAGAAGAAACAUGAAUGUUGAGCUGUAAACUUGGAAAAUCACCUAUUGAAAUUAAUCACAGAUUACAAGCAAGAGUUGAGGAAUCAGUUGACUUAGGAAGAUAUCAGAGGUUGAUUGGGAGAUUGAUUUAUCUCUUACAUACUAGACCUGACAUAGCUUAUGCAGUGGGUCUAGUGAGUCAG